This 202-nucleotide ribosomal RNA is filed under the name uncultured bacterium. RNAcentral describes it as "partial small subunit ribosomal RNA". It matches the Rfam family "Bacterial small subunit ribosomal RNA", at positions 30 to 235 of the family's 1533-position model. The record is from RNAcentral.
GGCCUGAACGCUGGCGGCGUGGCUAAGACAUGCAAGUCGAACGGGUAUAGCAAUAUACUAGUGGCGAACGGGUGAGUAAUGUAUCGCUAACGUGCCCUGAACUCUGGGAUAGCUACUCGAAAAGGGUAGGUAAUACCAGAUGAAAUGGCCUGAUCGCAUGAUCGGGCUCUCAAAGGUCCGCUGGUUCGGGAGCGGGCUGGCA